GCUGGGCGUGGUGUAUGCCUGUAGUCCCAGCUACUCGGGAGGCUGAGGUGGGAGGAUCGCUUGAGCCCAGGAGUUCUGGGCUGUAGUGUGCUCUGUUGAUUGGGUGUCUGCACUAAGUUCAGCAUCAAUAUGGUGACCUCCUGGGAUCAGGGGACCACCAGGUUGCCUAAGGAGGGGUGAACCGGCCCAGGUUGGAAACGGAGCAGGUCAAAACUCCCGUGCUGAUCAGUAGUGGGAUUGCACCUGUGAAUAGCCAGGACACUCCAGCCUGGGCAACAUAUGAGACCCCGUCUCUA
This is an unclassified non-coding RNA of Callithrix jacchus (white-tufted-ear marmoset), 296 nucleotides long. It matches the Rfam family "Metazoan signal recognition particle RNA". From Rfam's summary of the family: The signal recognition particle (SRP) is a universally conserved ribonucleoprotein. It is involved in the co-translational targeting of proteins to membranes. The record is from Ensembl. NCBI's taxonomy places the organism in Eukaryota, Metazoa, Chordata, Mammalia, Primates, Cebidae.